GUAAUGUCUGGGAAACGUGCCUGAUGGAGGGGGGUAACUACUGGAAACAGUAGCUAAUACCGCAUAACGUCGCAAGACCAAAGAGGGGGACCUUCGGGCCUCUUGCCAUCGGAUGUGCCCAGAUGGGAUUAGCUAGUAGGUGGGGUAACGGCUCACCUAGGCGACGAUCCCUAGCUGGUCUGAGAGGAUGACCAGCCACACUGGAACUGAGACACGGUCCAG
RNAcentral lists this ribosomal RNA (222 nucleotides) under uncultured bacterium. Its description in RNAcentral is "partial 16S ribosomal RNA". It matches the Rfam family "Bacterial small subunit ribosomal RNA", at positions 110 to 334 of the family's 1533-position model. The record is from RNAcentral.